RNAcentral lists this long non-coding RNA (480 nucleotides) under Ovis aries (sheep). Its description in RNAcentral is "lncRNA (ENSOARG00000026315.1)". The record is from RNAcentral. Lineage: Eukaryota; Metazoa; Chordata; Mammalia; Artiodactyla; Bovidae.
UUUCUGUUGAGGCGCUUUCCCCUGAAUAAGGGUUCCCCCCACCUCACUACCACCCCCUACAUUGUCUCAUACCCCCCGGCCCACCAUCUUUUUCCUCUUUGAUCCCCAUGGAUCUUUGCACAUAUCACUAAUCAUGACAUUUGUUUAUUUUGAUGUUAACUGUAGACUUCGCUGAUCCUCUUCACUGUCAUCACCAUCAGAGGGUAACCUUCUGGCCCUUGAAGACUGUGUUUCUCAUCUCUGCAUUCUCAUUGCCUAGUAGAGAGUCAAGCUUAUACUACAGUCCUGAUUAUUGCCUGUUGAAUGAAUUUAGGCUUCAAACAUGACCUUUUUUUUUUGAAAAGAAGUUUCUCCUACAAACUGCUAUUAAAACUCAGAGCAAAUUUAAAGAUUUCCUGUAGCAUAGAAACCCAUCCUGCUAUGAGUGCAAUCGCGUGGAACAUCAGAUGGAAGCUCUUUGCCCCCAUGGCCUGCCCAAGA